This 498-nucleotide ribosomal RNA is filed under the name uncultured bacterium. RNAcentral's name for it is "partial 16S ribosomal RNA". It matches the Rfam family "Bacterial small subunit ribosomal RNA", at positions 30 to 523 of the family's 1533-position model. The record is from RNAcentral.
AUUGAACGCUGGCGGCAUGCCUUACACAUGCAAGUCGAACGGUAACAGGUCUUCGGAUGCUGACGAGUGGCGAACGGGUGAGUAAUACACCGGAACGUGCCUAGUAGUGGGGGAUAACUACUCGAAAGAGUGGCUAAUACCGCAUGAGAUCUACGGAUGAAAGCAGGGGAUCGCAAGACCUUGUGCUACUAGAGCGGCCGAUGGCAGAUUAGGUAGUUGGUGGGAUAAAAGCUUACCAAGCCGACGAUCUGUAGCUGGUCUGAGAGGGCGAUCAGCCACACUGGGACUGAGACACGGCCCAGGCGCCUACGGUAGGCAGCAGUGGGGAAGUUUGGAAAAUGGGCAAAAGCCUGAGCCAGCAAUGCCGCGUGCAGGAUGAAGGCCUUCGGGUUGUAAACUGCUUUUGUACGGAACGAAAAGCCCCGGGUUAAUACCCUGGGGUCAUGACGGUACCGUAAGAAUAAGCACCGGCUAACUACGUGCCAGCCGCCGCCGUAA